Limanda limanda (common dab) is the source of this 129-nucleotide non-coding RNA. NCBI's taxonomy places the organism in Eukaryota, Metazoa, Chordata, Actinopteri, Pleuronectiformes, Pleuronectidae. The record is from RefSeq and is a predicted model, not a curated record.
GUGGUGGUCUGAAUGAUGCCAGCACUGAGCAGUGUGCUGCACCUGGUGUGACCCCACACAGAGUGAUACUGGUUCCUGCCGACAGAGACUGUAAAGAUAUUGGUCUUCUGUGCGAUGGUUCCAUACAUU